This 355-nucleotide unclassified non-coding RNA is filed under the name soil metagenome. RNAcentral's name for it is "partial contains 5.8S ribosomal RNA, internal transcribed spacer 2, and large subunit ribosomal RNA". The stretch from base 1 to 120 matches the Rfam family "5.8S ribosomal RNA", at positions 35 to 154 of the family's 154-position model. The record is from RNAcentral.
GAUGAAGAACGUAGCGAAAUGCGAUAAGUAAUGUGAAUUGCAGAAUUCAGUGAAUCAUCGAAUCUUUGAACGCACAUUGCGCCCAUUAGUAUUCUAGUCGGCAUGCCUGUUCGAGCGUCAUUAAGUCCACUUAAGCCCUGCUUAGUGUUGGGAGACUGCUCCAGCGGUGCUACCCUGUAGCUACCCUGCAGCUCCUCAAAGACAGCGGCGGUGUUGUGGUAUCCUCUGAGCUUAGUAACUUGUUCUAGCUUUCGAGUACACCACUUCCCCUGCCGUAAAACACUUAAUUUUUAAUGGUUGACCUCGGAUCAGGUAGGAAUACCCGCUGAACUUAAGCAUAUCAAUAAGCGGAGGA